RNAcentral lists this ribosomal RNA (369 nucleotides) under uncultured bacterium. Its description in RNAcentral is "bacterial SSU rRNA". It matches the Rfam family "Bacterial small subunit ribosomal RNA", at positions 527 to 896 of the family's 1533-position model. The record is from RNAcentral.
GAAGGGGGCUAGCGUUGCUCGGAAUUACUGGGCGUAAAGCGCACGUAGGCGGCGAUUCAAGUUAGAUGUGAAAGGCCUGGGCUCAACCCGGGAACUGCAUUUGAUACUGAAUUGCUAGAGUCCAAGAGAGGGUAGUGGAAUUCCCAGUGUAGAGGCGAAAUUCGUAGAUAUUGGGAAGAACACCAGUGGCGAAGGCGGCUACCUGGCUUGGUACUGACGCUCAGGUGCGAAAGCGUGGGGAGCGAACAGGAUUAGAUACCCUGGUAGUCCACGCCGUAAACGAUGGGUGCUAGAUGUCGGGCAGCAUGCUGUUCGGUGUCGUAGCUAACGCGUUAAGCACCCCGCCUGGGGAGUACGGCCGCAAGGUUA